This 941-nucleotide long non-coding RNA is filed under the name Salvia miltiorrhiza (redroot sage). Its description in RNAcentral is "long non-coding RNA (SMIL_LNC010680)". The record is from RNAcentral. Lineage: Eukaryota; Viridiplantae; Streptophyta; Magnoliopsida; Lamiales; Lamiaceae.
UCCCUCUCGGCUCUCCCGACUCUCUCUCUCUGCUCGGUCGAGUGCGGCGCCGCCUCCGGCGCGCCGCCUCGCCGUGCAUCUCCCCUCCCCCUCUCAUACUCUCGGUCUCUCCUCUUCUCUCUCUAUCUCGCCGGAAAAACAGAGCCACGGCUCCUUGCUCGGAAUAGGGCAGCAGAGGCUACCCCCACCGUCGCAUCCAUCUUCGCCGCCCACAACCACCGCCGGACUCACGGGGAAGAGCCGAGCGUCGCCGCUCCCGUCGUUCGUCUUGCUGGAAUCGCGGUGGAGGCCGAGCCUUGCCUCGCCGGGAAGGUAGGCUCCAGAUCUGAGCUCCCCCUCUUUUUCUCUUUUCCGGCCGACCAGGAACAGCUCGGUGCUCCCGCUGCCGUGUCGCCGCUGCCGAUGCCGCCGCAUCGUCGUCACCGGAGAAGAUAAGUUCUCCCUCCUAUCUCUCUCUCUCCCUCCCCUGUUCUACCUUCUCUUCUCUCUCUCUCUUUUUUUUUUUUUUUUUUUUUACAGCAGCCCUAACCAUCUCUCUCUCGUUUCAGACAGACAAAGGAAAAAGGCGGCGGCUGCCGCCGCGCCGCCUCCGGCCGCGAGCAGCCGCCGGCUGCUCUCACCCCCCCAAAUUCCAGUCACACGCACAAAACACACAUAGAGCACUUAGGGUUUCAAUUCUGUUCAUUUUCAUUCAUUUCUAUUUACAAAAACUGAUCUGUACUUGUAAUAGAUAGAAAUAUAGUAAAAUGUGUGCGUGUGUAUUAUUCUGUUGGUGGUUCUCUGAUGGUGAUAAGCUGAUGUAAUUGAAACAAUAAUAGUCUAAAAGAAGUGGUAAUGGAUGCGUGUGUUCGAUCUGUUUUCAUUUGAAUCAUAGUUUUGUAAUUUAACAAAUGAAUGUAUGGAGAAAGUAAAGUAGGAGGUAACCUUGAUAUGAGUAGGAA